GCAGAGUUUGGGGAGGGGCGCAUAUCAGGGUGAGCUUCCCCAAUCCUUAUUUCCCCUCCGCUCAUGAUCUCUCUCUCUCUCUCUCUCUCUCCUACCCAUCUUCUAUGCAAGAUUUGUGUAGCCUAAACGCCUCUGUACGAUAUGUGUAGGUAUACCUUCGGAAGAACAAAUCAAUCAAAUGUUAAUUCUCCAAGGUAACUUGCCUUUUCUACGCAGGUACUGCUUGUUUAGUACUGUGGAUAGUACUGUUGAUAAGUAAAUGUAAGCAUGACCCAAUAAUGAUACGAACAAGCUUUGAGAGGCUCAAUCAUUUUCAUUUAUACUAAGAAUUAACCAGUUCACUAAUUUCUAUGCUACUGAUAGUAUCGUCUGAAUAUAUCUACUACAUUCACUGCACUGUGCUUACAUUCACACUGAUUGUAGCUGCAAGUUAAGAUCUAAUUGUCCAAGAUAAUUCUGAGGACCUAACACAACGUGCGGUUUUGAACUAAGUGAUCUUUUCUGGCCUUACUCCCAUCUACUUUUAAAAUCAAUUUUAAUGAUAUCGAUAGGUUAAGGUCAUUCAUGAGGAGAGGUGUUGGGGCGGAGUCCCAGGUGUAGCUACUAUUGCCCUAUCAAUUCUGUAGUCACCUCUUUCUGAACAUUGGUCAGUUCUUCACGAGCGAUACUAUACUCUUGCUGCCUCUUAGUAUUCUCCGUUUAUUCUAAUAAGUGUAUGUGGACACACACAGACAGUAACGGAACAAGCACAACAGUUCUCUUUGUGUUUUAGUGGGUAUAUGUGGAUGAACAGAAAGUGGUCUCUGUUUAUUACCGGGUUACAUGUUGCUGCAAUGAAAAUGUAUAUGGUGAUUUUCAUUCUGGUUUGCAGGGUAGUACAUGGAGCAUAGAAACUGAGUCGAAAGUCUGUCUUUUGUGCAGGAAUUUACUGCAGGUCUGAUCCCUUGCUCGUGCUCUCUGCUUGUCCUCACUCCGUAGACCUUUCCUUUGCUCGUAGCCAUACAUUUUUAUUCAGAGUGCUGUCAAGACGCAUCUCCUCUGCCUAUAUGGCGGGCAGAGGGCCUAAGCUCUAGGUGAGCUCCUCCUCCACCCUACAAAUGUUGUAUUUUGUAUGAUGUUUCCAUUGUUAAUGUCUGCAAUCUAAUGCCUUGCUCUGCUAUUUUUAUUUCUAAUCUCAACAUUUCCAAUUUUAUUAGUCGAGGAUUACCUGAAUGUUUUGUUGGAAUUGGAAUGCGGGGAUCUCAAAGAAUUUUUCUAAAGCAAGAUCCAAUAUCAGCAUGUUGUGAUCUUGCUCGGUGGUUGAGGUCCUGUAGAGAACAUCAUCACUAUAAUGAAGUCGAUAGCAACUUGCUAAAAUCAUUUUCUCCAGAAGAUUGAGAACCGGUAGGAUUCUAUUUGUAUAUAUUUACAGUGACAUUCUCUCUGAUUCGAGUAAUUACAUUAGUAUCUGUUUCAUUCGUCUUUGAUGAAUGCCUCUAGAUAUUCAACAAAAAGGAUAAAAUCAUCAUUUCUUUUGAAACUUUAAAGGUAGUAGGAGAGGCUCCUACUGUCAUAUAAUAGAGCUAUAAGUUACAUGACUACAUAACUAAAAACUACAGGGGGACACACCUCCAAAAGUCUGCCCAACAGGGAAAAAAACAACAGGAGUAGGUUUACUGUAAAGAAAAGACAAUAGUGGAUAGUGACGUCCAAGCCAGGAUCCUAUGGAGGGAUGGAUUCCCCUGAAAAUCUUUACACAUUUGUCUUUCUUUUAGCAUUGAUGAAUGCAUGAAAAACAUGCACAUGGCCACACAUGCCUAAAGUUAAAAAACAAGGAAUUGGGUUUUCAUUUCUCUUAAAACUGUUAGAAUGUGUCAUGUUGGCCAUAUAUCACAUUUCUAAUGGUCGUAUUUCCUUACGAUAAGUAGUUGAUGGUUAAUUUUCUUGGUUAGGUAAACUACCUCGCUGUUAUGAUAAAAGUUCAAGGCCAUCAGGGGUAUCCUGAACAUAGGCAGAUGAACCUUCCCUGUAUAUGUGCUGUUUUUAGCUAGGGAAAAUGCACUCAAGCCAUAGCCAUUUCGGAAUUGAUGGUAAAAUAUUUGAAGAUAGUUCAGUGUAGAUUGGAGCUUCAACAUAUCUAUAGCAUAGCCUUCUCUUGGAAAACAGUUACAUUUAUGACUAUUCAAAAGUAAGAAGUUAGCAUUUUCUUGAUUGUUGGAUUUGAGAGCCUUCAUUUUCCUGGAUAUCAUUUUUUUUUCAACACUCUGCUGAUGUCACCUUGAAGCUUGAACAUUUUUUUCACUCCUAUAUAAAUACACUGCUCUACAAAAUUGAUUGAUUAAAGAAGUUAACUCUUCUUCAAAGCAAAUUUUCAAAUGACUUGAUGCGAGGACCAAAACAUGGAAACUUGGUAUAUCAGCUCAAACACCUCAUCAGUAAAAUGGAAGUUUGCUAUACUAAAUAAACUAUCUGCUCUAUUAUUUUUAUUUUUACUCUUGCUUCCAUUCAUGUAUUUAUAGUACCCUGGGUAGCUACAACAGUGAUAUUACAGGUGAUAUGUAGGGGAACACAUGUUCAUUAUAAAAAUAAAGAAAUAUGGUAUGAAUCCAAUUGGUGUUAAUUUGAACUUAGGUGGUGAGAUUGUGCGUCCUCCCCCACCAAAGUGAGCUAGGUGUAAUUUAAACUUUAUUCCAGGCACAUGAAACACAUCAUGGGUGUAUAUGAACCUUAUCUCAAAAUACUCAAUCUUGCCAACAAAAACUUAAUUGUGUGAUGUGUGCAUGAAAUAUAUUACUCUCUGUUCCUAGCCACGCACCUCCUCACCUCCUCGAUUCCUAGCCACGCACCUCUCCUCACCACCUCCACGAACACGUAGAAGGGCCACAGCCCGGUCGGGCAGGCCUCUGGCCGUCGGUCCCGAGCAGAGAACUUCGGCGACCUCCGCAGCUCGCCCACCCCGCUCCGGUGCCUCUCGAGCUCGACCAACUGCUCGGGCGUGGCAUUGGAGGUCUCUUGGUGCUGCCUGGAUGCUGCUGAGCCCCCGGAGCCGCCUCUAGUCAUUGUCUUCUUCCACUCUGGUGAAUCCCGUCCGCCACCGAAGCUUGCGAGCUUGACCGCGAGCAGCUCCGGCCAUCCCACGGAAAGCCACGGGUACGGGCAGGUGCGCCGUGAACCCCGCUUCAAUUCUAUCCCUCUCAUCUAGCCCCAAACCCCCUCCUCGUCGGCGUGAGCUCCGGCGAAGCGCAGUCACUCUCUAAUCUUGCUCCCCUCUCUCUCUCCCGACGUACGGGGCCCACUCGUCAGCCUCACCACUCGCGCCCGAAGCGGUAUGAGUGGAGGCGUAUUUGCCCUUUACACCUUCGACGUCACCCCCCCCAAGAAAUUCUGCUUAAUUCAAAUUUAAUCAGAAUUUGACCCAAACUUUGACCAGCCACCAUUUCUAAACCAUAAGUCCAAAUGAUCUGAUUCUUUUUGCAUUGUCUUUGUUUCAGAAAGCUCUAGCAGCACACCAAAAGGUGGAUUUUUUCCUUGUUGCCUAGAAUUUCUGGUGCUAAUCGGAGAGGUUUUUGAUAUUUGUUUUUGUGGUUUUUAAUUAUUUUCAGAAGGAGAAGCUUGUCUUGAAGCAAACCAAGAGGGGUGUGAUCCUCCUCUACACUAAGGCAAGCCACACCAGCAUUUGGAUGGUGUUAUUUCAAUAUCUAUGAUUUUCUACUUGAAUAUGAGCCCUUAUUUGCAUUUAAAAUUUGAUAAAUAAAUUUUGUUAAGUGCUAGUCACUUUAUCAUGCUUGAUAUGCUUGUUUUAGUUACUGGUAAAUUGCAUGCACUUGUUUGGUCAAGUAGAAUAAAAUUUUGCAUUAGUUAUAUUGCUAUGGGAAAUAAUGAUAUUUCUUUUAUUAAGGGAUAUUUUCAUAUGAAUAAUGAGCUAAUAAAAAUAUUGCUUGUUAAUAAAAAUGAAUUAGGACCAGUGAAGUUUUUGAUCCUGAGUAUUGCAAGAUAAUUAUGUUGAUAAGUUUGAUCCAUAUCCAUGUGUUGUUUGCUUUGCAUGUCGAUUAGUUGCUUGAUUACGUCAUAGUAUGUGUUGCUCAUAAUUUUUUAUAUAUCAAAGUUAAACUUGAUUAAGUUCAACUUGAAUAUGAUGUUGAUCACAUCAUGAAUCGGGUUUUUAUUCAGUGCGACCACAUUUACCUUGUGGGAAGGUCUUGAUUCGGUCCUUUGUUGUGCCUCUCACCGGUGCCUCCCGCGAGGGAAGGUUAUGGGCGUGCAUACCCUGGCUCGGUAAGCGGACAUAACCUUGUGUGCUCAUUUUUGUUUUUAUGCUACCUUGUUCCCGUUUGGGACCGUUUUGCCAUGACGGUGGCUGUUGGUGCCUUUGGUAGGAACGGGGCCACCCAAGACCUAGCCCUGAGAGGGAGUUGGUCGGAGUGGCCGGGAGAGUGCCAUGACAAAGGGAGGGUUUCGUCGGAACGCUUUGGUCCACCCGAAUGGGAGUGCGAGGCCAGGGGUUCCGUAGUGUGGGUAAAGUGCGCUGCCUCUGUAGAGUGUAUUUAAUCUAUCGAUAGCCGCAUCCUCGGUCGUGGGCAUAGCUCGGAAGUAAGUCACACCAUGGAUCAACUUUUAUAAUUAAUCUUGCAAACUAAAUGAUUGUUGUGAUGCAUUUUGUUUCGUGGUGAUUCAUGAACGCUUGAGUUGUUCAUGAGUGGUUGGUUUCAGUUGUGACCCAGGUAUGGUCACCGUUUGGUUACGAGGUAAUCGUCUAGUAAGCGAGUCUGUGAGAUUCGGUGCGCGUGUUGGUUUCAUUGCAUCUGUUAGUAGUCUUGCAUUGCAUUAAUUUGAUUAAUUGUCAUGAUAUUGUCUGUCAUCGUGCUUAUGUUUGUUGUGAGCUUGCAAGUACAUUCAAUGUACUGACCUGGCGUGUAAUGCCAGCUUUCAGGCAAGUUGGUUCGCAUCGGAGCGCAUCUUGCGUCUAGGCCGUGUCCACGCCGGUGUCCCUGUGCUAUGGAGUUUCCACUUUGUCGUCUUCCGCUGCCGCGUAGUUCGUGUGAUCGAGACCCUCGUCAUGUUCAUUAAAUAAUGUACAUACUGUUCAGCCGCACCGAGUGUGCUGCUUGGCCUCGUAUGUCGAUGUAAUAUAAGACUUAUGUAAUCCGCUAGCAUCAAUAAAGCGGUUGUUUCUGUACCAUGUUGUUGUGUAUUGCCAGAAGACUAG
This 5185-nucleotide long non-coding RNA is filed under the name Triticum aestivum (bread wheat). Its description in RNAcentral is "long non-coding RNA (TAES_LNC011401)". The record is from RNAcentral. Lineage: Eukaryota; Viridiplantae; Streptophyta; Magnoliopsida; Poales; Poaceae.